UGAGUAACCUGCCCUUAAACUCUGGGAUAAGCCUGGGAAACUGGGUCUAAUACCGGAUAUGACUCCUCAUCGCAUGGUGGGGGGUGGAAAGCUUUAUUGUGGUUUUGGAUGGACUCGCGGCCUAUCAGUUUGUUGGUGAGGUAAUGGCUCACCAAGGCGACGACGGGUAGCCGGCCUGAGAGGGUGACCGGCCACACUGGGACUGAGACACGGCUCAGACUCCGUACGGGAGCAG
RNAcentral lists this ribosomal RNA (235 nucleotides) under uncultured bacterium. Its description in RNAcentral is "partial 16S ribosomal RNA". It matches the Rfam family "Bacterial small subunit ribosomal RNA", at positions 118 to 347 of the family's 1533-position model. The record is from RNAcentral.